CUAUUUUAGUCAAAGCGGCUGCGGGCGUGGGGACCCGGCCCGGGCUGCGGAGCUUCCGGACCCGCGGACUCGCCGAGGAGCGCGCGUCCGACACCCGUCGAACCGCUGAGCCCGUGUCCCCCGAGUCCCGCGCUCCGAAGCUGCCGCUCCGAACUUUGGUCGGUGCAGCCCAGGUUCCUCGCCGAGGACCAGCCAGGAAUUUUCAAAAUGAAUUAUACAGAGUCCAGCUCAUUGACGGAAUCAACUGCCAUAGGUUUUACACCUGAGUUAGAAAGUGUCAUACCCGUGCCUUCCAAUGAGACCACUUGUGAAAACUGGAGAGAGAUACAUCAUCUGGUUUUUCAUGUAGCAAAUAUUUGUUUUGCAGUUGGGUUGGUUAUUCCAACAACUCUUCACCUUCAUAUGAUAUUUCUUAGGGGAAUGUUAACUCUAGGAUGUACACUUUAUAUUGCCUGGGCCACUCUCUACCGAUGUGCCUUGGAUAUAAUGAUCUGGAAUUCUGUGUUCUUGGGUGUCAACAUUUUGCAUCUGUCAUAUCUUUUAUACAAGAAGAGACCGGUAAAGAUUGAAAAGGAACUCAGUGGCAUCUACCGGCGAUUGUUUGAACCACUCCGUGUGCCUCCAGAUUUGUUCAGAAGAUUAACUGGACAGUUUUGCAUGAUCCAAACCUUGAAAAAGGGCCAGACUUACGCUGCAGAAGAUAAAACCUCAGUUGAUGACCGUCUGAGUAUUCUCUUGAAGGGGAAAAUGAAGGUCUCCUAUCGAGGACAUUUUCUGCAUAACAUUUACCCCUGUGCCUUUAUAGAUUCUCCUGAAUUUAGAUCAACUCAGAUGCACAAAGGUGAAAAAUUCCAGGUCACCAUUAUUGCAGAUGAUAACUGCAGAUUUUUAUGCUGGUCAAGAGAAAGAUUAACAUACUUUCUGGAAUCAGAACCUUUCUUGUAUGAAAUCUUUAGGUAUCUUAUUGGAAAAGACAUUACAAAUAAGCUCUACUCAUUGAAUGAUCCCACCUUAAAUGAUAAGGUAAAAAGCCAAAAAGCUGGAACAUCAGCUCAGCCUCUGCACACAGAUCUCCAUGCUGGAAAUGAGGAACAGUAUAGCCAGCUCCAGUGACAGUGACGACGGCUUGCACCAGUUUCUUCGGGGUACCUCCAGCAUGUCCUCUCUUCAUGUGUCAUCCCCACACCAGCGAGCCUCUGCCAAGAUGAAACCGAUAGAAGAAGGGGUAGAAGAUGACGAUGAGGUCUUUGAACCGGUAUCUCCAAAUACAUUUAAAGUCCGUCAGCUGCCUUGAUCAGAGAGAGAAUUCAGGUUACCAAGACAAAAGGUGUCUUGAGGUCCUGGAAAAUACCAGCACUUUCUCAUGGCUUUUAGGUUAUUCUAUGUUAGUGCAUCCAUACUGGUAGAGUCUGAGGGAGGAAGUGAGGAAAGAUCAAGGAUGGAAGCGUUCUUUCACUUAUCCUUUUUGUUAGUCAGUCUUGAAGUAAUUGUUUUACUGAGCCUUCUGACUAUGCCUUGUUCUAUUUUGAGAUAUAUAAUUUUCACAGUCUUUUCUAGAUACAUUAUUGUUUUAACUUAACAAAUCUUAGCAAUCUCUCAAUGCAAA
Cebus imitator (Panamanian white-faced capuchin) is the source of this 1606-nucleotide RNA transcript. It is a transcript of the gene named blood vessel epicardial substance, with no coding region annotated. The record is from RefSeq and is a predicted model, not a curated record. The transcript has 8 exons. Lineage: Eukaryota; Metazoa; Chordata; Mammalia; Primates; Cebidae.